GACACUUUGGCCGAGUGGUUAAGGCGACACCCUGCUAUCUAGUCAUAGGUGUUGGGCUCUGCCCGCGUGUGUUCGAAUCGCACAGGUGUCG
Molecule: non-coding RNA, 91 nt
Organism: Mycena belliarum
Lineage: Eukaryota; Fungi; Basidiomycota; Agaricomycetes; Agaricales; Mycenaceae
Source: the annotation of a GenBank genome assembly